UUUAAAGAGAGUUUGAUCCUGGCUCAGGACGAACGCUGGCGGCGUGCCUAAUACAUGCAAGUCGAACGAACGGAGGAAGAGCUUGCUCUUCCAAAGUUAGUGGCGGACGGGUGAGUAACACGUGGGCAACCUGCCUGUAAGUUGGGGAUAACUCCGGGAAACCGGGGCUAAUACCGAAUGAUAGAAUGUGGCGCAUGCCACGCUUUUGAAAGAUGGUUUCGGCUAUCGCUUACAGAUGGGCCCGCGGUGCAUUAGCUAGUUGGUAGGGUAAUGGCCUACCAAGGCAACGAUGCAUAGCCGACCUGAGAGGGUG
RNAcentral lists this ribosomal RNA (313 nucleotides) under Listeria monocytogenes. RNAcentral describes it as "bacterial SSU rRNA". It matches the Rfam family "Bacterial small subunit ribosomal RNA", at positions 1 to 302 of the family's 1533-position model. The record is from RNAcentral. Lineage: Bacteria; Bacillati; Bacillota; Bacilli; Caryophanales; Listeriaceae.